This 413-nucleotide ribosomal RNA is filed under the name uncultured Hyphomicrobiales bacterium. RNAcentral's name for it is "bacterial SSU rRNA". It matches the Rfam family "Bacterial small subunit ribosomal RNA", at positions 29 to 456 of the family's 1533-position model. Lineage: Bacteria; Pseudomonadati; Pseudomonadota; Alphaproteobacteria; Hyphomicrobiales. The record is from RNAcentral.
AACGAACGCUGGCGGCAGGCUUAACACAUGCAAGUCGAACGCGCACCUUCGGGUGUGAGUGGCAGACGGGUGAGUAACGCGUGGGAAUUUACCUCAAACUUUGGGAUAACACAGAGAAAUUUGUGCUAAUACCAGAUGUGCUGAUAUAAAGGGAUUUAUAUUGGGAAAGAUUUAUCGGUUUGAGAUAAGCCCGCGUUGGAUUAGCUAGUUGGUAGGGUAAUGGCCUACCAAGGCGACGAUCCAUAGCUGGUCUGAGAGGAUGAUCAGCCACGCUGGGACUGAGACACGGCCCAGACUCCUACGGGAGGCAGCAGUGGGGAAUAUUGGACNAUGGGCGCAAGCCUGAUCCAGCCAUGCCGCGUGAGNNNNNNNCCUUAGGGUUGUAAAGCUCUUCACCGGAGAAGAUAAUGACG